UUAAUAACAAGAGUAAAACAUUGGUUUCUCCACUUCCUUUGCAGAGAGAUGCCCCAAGCAGAGUCCAUACAGUGGAGGCUGUAUCACCCAUGAGACCGUUAAAUCAGGGUACCUCCCCACUCUCUCUUAGUCUCUCCAGGAGGCGACUGCAGUAUGGUCUUCUGCAGUGAUGUGCUUUCCUGUACACGUCCCACAGCCUGCAUUUCCCCUUGUGGGAUAAACACAGCAUGUAUUGUGAAUAUAUAACGUUCCCCCUAGUGAAAAAGCAUGGGAUGACAUCCAUGUGUAGACAUAGUGCUUAAAAUUCAGUAGUCUGGUUUUCUUUUUUGAAAUAUUAUG
Molecule: long non-coding RNA, 339 nt
Organism: Sinocyclocheilus rhinocerous
Lineage: Eukaryota; Metazoa; Chordata; Actinopteri; Cypriniformes; Cyprinidae
Exons: 3
Source: RefSeq, a predicted model, not a curated record